Molecule: unclassified non-coding RNA, 4161 nt
Filed under: Hevea brasiliensis (rubber tree)
Lineage: Eukaryota; Viridiplantae; Streptophyta; Magnoliopsida; Malpighiales; Euphorbiaceae
Source: RNAcentral
UAUGGAAUCUUGCUAAUGAUUGAUUUUGAAACUGUUUAAACAAAGGAUUUGUUAUGGCUGCUGUGAAAAUUUCUAGGAUCACAAGGCAUAUAUAAUAUUGCAAAAUGGUACAAACAUGAACUAGAGUAAUAAAAAAAUACAAGAUCAUAAUACAAUGAAACAAUUUUAAAAAAAUAAUAAAAUAAAUAAAUAAUGUAUUCGGUAAGUAUAAGCAGCUUGGACCUUGUAUAAGCAGCUUGGACCCAAGUAGGAUCCUUUCAGCCACAUAUUCUCAAUAAUGGGGAAAUGAAGUUCUUGAAUGACUCAGUAAUGCUCCUGAUAUAUUGCUCCAAAUUCCGCCCUCCAUGCCUGAUCAUCAUCAGUAACUGUGUUGUGGGUUAUUUCAGAAUCUUCCCGGUAUAAUGGCUGCAAUGCAGAUUCUGGUAAUUUGCUUUCUGCUAAAUACUGUUUCAUGGUGAUCAUCUCCAUCUUGUGUUUUCUUUUUAAUUUCUCCAUUUGCUUCUUUAAUUUCUCAUUGUCUUUUUGAACCUCGGUAAAUUUUUCCUCUGCAACUGAGGCAGCAUGCUCAGCUUCUCUGAGUCUAACAAGGAGUUCUCCUGCAGCAUGAACAGCUUCUGCAGUGUCUCUAAGCUGGAUUUUGAGACUCUUGUUCUCCUUCUUCAAGAAUUCUCUCUCCUUUUCCCUCUCCACCCUCAAGGCAGAAAGCUCCGCUGCAAGUGAUUUGGCAAAGCGGGCGCCACCUUUGUUUCCUGCCUUUGCUGCUGCCCUUUUGAAUUCUGCUAUUCCCUCCAUGAUUGCACGGUGCUUUCCAACUAAAUCAUUAUGUUUCUCUUGUAGUUCAGCAUAGUGUUCAACCAUUCUAGCAUGGCCAAGGACAGCCCUACUAAGUGCAUCAUCCAACUCCUCAUUACUCCUUUUUUCUGAUCUCAAUUCCAUCUCUACCUUCUCUGUGCGCCGACGACUGGAUUCAAGAUCAAUCCUCAGGUCAUCAGUUAUAGAAAUCCAUUCACUCUCCAUUUCUGUCCAUCUCUGUCUUUCCUUCUCAAGUUCUUGCCCAUUACCACAUUGAGCAUCUAUACUUUUGCGUAACUGAAUGGAUUGUGCUAACAAAGAAGAUCUCAGUUUAUCAAUGGAUCUGUUUGCAGAAGCAUCGAUAAAUGAUUUCAACUGGGUCCUUAAACUUUGAAUUUCCAGAAGAAGUGCUUCCUUCUCCUUCACAUCAAAACAUGUAUUCUCUUCCUGAACUUCCUUCAUUUCACAUUUUUCCUUUAUGAUUUCUGGGGGCUCUUCAUUUUUGGAUUCCUCAAAUAGUAUUAUUUGAUUCUUUGAGCCCUCAAGACAAAGACCAUCGCCUUCCAGAUCAUGAUCCAUGAUGGAAUGUUCUUUCUUGAGUUUGUAUUGCUCUACCAGGCGAUUUAGCUCCUCAAUUUUAGCUGCUUGAUCCUUGCAGAUAUUUUCAAGUUCCUUCUCUCUCUUAUGGGCUUCUGCCAAACCAUUGCCUUCACCAUUAGCCGCCUCAUCUGACAGUUUGUUAGGAUUUCUUGCUUCAUUGACUGCUAAAAUCCAUGCCUUCAGGCUAUCUUGAACCUCAUUAGAAUUAUCAUUGAUCUUUAGCUGACAAGAUGCACAUAGUAAAGAAGUGGAUGGUCCAGAUAAUGGUGCUUCUUCCGCUAGCUUUUGAACAGAAGAAUAGGUUGCAUCAACUUCUGGACAGGGUUUCAGUGCCAAGUGCUCAAAGGAGAAGGCAACUGAAGAUCUGUUUAAUGCUGAUUUCCGCUGGUGCUGGUCAAUAAUCUGCAAGCCUCUUUGAAGGCUAGCAGCCAAGGACUCAGUGGGGCCUGGAAACAUCUUGCUUGAACGCAAAGAUGAACGAUUGUGCUCACUCUGCCCAUGUGACUGGAACAACACAUCUGACUUCGCACUCUGCGAUACAUUGUUCUGACUAGCUGAAAAUGCUGAUGAAGAAAUGGCCAUACUUUUCCUAGUAUUUCCAAUUCUAGGAGACUCGGACAACGUUGGCUCCUGGAGAACUGGAGACUGACGACAUAAACUGAUAGAUAUGCUACUUCUAACUGAUGGAUCAGUCGCCUUUAAGGUAUUAUGGGUACUUAAAAGGUCAUCUUCUGACGCAAUGAUGUCCUCUUCAUGCUUCUCCAAAUUAAGUUCUUCAGUUUGAAUUUCGUCUGGACCAUUUACUUCUUCUUCACUCAUCAAAUCUGUCUCAAAACUCUCGUCUAAAGAAGAAAAGUGACUAGAGUUUCUAUUGUCAGAUAGAUCUUUCGAGUCCUCCCCAUAAGAACUUUUCAAUUUAUUAAGCUGAUGAUGUAGUUCUUUCACAUCAUCCUCAUCAACAUUCACUUCAUUGUCAGAAUCAUUAUCAAUAUUGGGUAACAUCAAAGAGCGAUUAAGGCUUACUCUCAAGUGGUUCAAGCUUUCACGUGCAUUCCGCCCUUUAAAGUAUCCAUUUUUAUUCCCAACUGAAUUAUGUGCAUCUGAUUUUGCUCUUAUAAGUUCUUCCUUUAAUUGGCGAAUCUGAUCACUCAAGUCAUUAACAUCAUCCUCAGAUAUUUCAUUAAUUACUGGCUCAUUUUGUAUGGCUUUAACUCGCUGCCCAAAUCUGAGUGUCCUCAAUGUCUCACAACUAUGUCUAUUAUCCGGAGAGAUGUUGCAUAUAACUGUGAGUUUUGCAUUGCCACCAAGAGAUUCUUGUAGCAAAUGUGUUAAACAAGAUCCUUUAUACGCUGCAACUUCAAAUUUCCCAGGUUGUGCUCCUUUUGCAAGAGCAUUCACCAAUUUUCCAAGGUGUGAUAGGGACUUCUUGACAUUUUUUCCUUCCCUUACUAAUUGUCUACCCGCAUCAUCAUCAGGUUUACUUCUAUCCAGUCCAGCAAGAUCAACAAGACUGAUUCUGCUAAUUUUUGAACUACUGAAACAUUUUGAUGAGGUUCCCUUGCACCAGGACUCAAUGAUGAACGUAAACACAAUGUGGGAUCUGGAGCUCUUAGAAUUUAUGCUUGUUGCUCCGACUUUUCUACUUGAAAGCCCCUUGAUCAAUAUUUGAGUUACAUCCUCAUAGCUACUCACAUACUCCUCGGUCAAAUUCUCAACAUGCAGUCCAUUCUUAGGAUCAUCCCUUAUCUCAAGAUUUCUUUGCACGGGAUCGAGCAAGUCCCCAAUUUGAUCAUUGUAUAUCUCAAGAAAAGAACAUCUGCACUGAUAAUUUAUCUGCUUCCCUUCCGAGUUCUCUUGCUCUCUUUGAAUUUCUGAGAAUAGCAUCUGGAAGAUGCGAGGAACGAUACCCUGGUGACUGUUGGGUGAGAGAUCCUCAACCAUUGCACUUGGUGGACCCCACAUUGUGUAGGUCUUUCCACUUCCAGUCUGUCCAUAUGACAAGAUUGAAGUAUUAUAACCUGCUAACGCACUUUUAACCAAAGGGAUACCAACUAACUGAAAGACGUCUUCCUGGUUUGAAUUGGGGUCAAGAACCGAAUCAAAUGUAAAUUUUCGAUUAGCAACGGAUAAUGAAUUGGAGGAAACCUUCCCCACUGCCACUCCAUCCUCUCUUUCGUGAUCAUUUACAGGUCUAACUCUCACCACAACCUUCACAGGCGGAUCCAAACUUGCUGGUGUUUCACUCUGACUGUUCAAUAUGGAAACAUCUCUCUUGAGCGGUGGGUCUUGAAGGGAAGAAGCAUCAGAUCUGGCAGCGUCAUUGUGCGAGGUAAAGGACUUGGAGAGCGAUAUUUUGGGGAUGGAAGGUGAGAGCGCAGGAUCUUUGAAUUGAACGUUUGGAUCCGGCGGAGGCGUGUUUUCGGAGCUGAAAAGUUUGGGAAAUUUAGGGUUGGAGGUAGACCUGCGCUUGGAGGAGAUGGAUCUGGGAAGCAAAUUACGAAUGGAAGAUGUUGAUAUCCUUCCCACGAAACGAUUCUCGCUACUGUCUGUAGUUGAUUUCAUGGUUUCUUUUGCUUGUUGGUUCCUUUUCUUUGUCUUCUGUUCAAGAGUAAAAGGCGAGAGACUACGAGUGCGUACGAUAGAGAGAAAGAGAGACAGAAAGAGAGUUUCAAAUGGUGGGCAGAGAGGGAAGAGGCGAGGAACGUUUUGUUGAGAGGGUGAACUGAUGACCGUUGGGAAAAGAGAUCCUUGUUUAAAAUUACAACUUUG